Molecule: small nucleolar RNA, 127 nt
Filed under: Echinops telfairi (small Madagascar hedgehog)
Lineage: Eukaryota; Metazoa; Chordata; Mammalia; Afrosoricida; Tenrecidae
Description: Small Cajal body specific RNA 15 (ENSETEG00000025261.1)
Rfam family: Small Cajal body specific RNA 15
About the family: scaRNAs are a specific class of small nuclear RNAs which localise to the Cajal bodies and guide the modification of RNA polymerase II transcribed spliceosomal RNAs U1, U2, U4, U5 and U12. ACA45 belongs to the H/ACA box class of guide RNAs as it has the predicted hairpin-hinge-hairpin-tail structure, the conserved H/ACA-box motifs and is found associated with GAR1.
Source: RNAcentral
CCGGAGACUAAGAAAAGAGAGUCCUUGAAGUCAAGCUGGCUUUGCUUCUAGUCUCCUAAAUGAACAGGUAGAUAGAGCAGGUCUUGUGGGCGAAAUAAAUUCAAGACUCACAUAUCGACCAACAGCA